Molecule: long non-coding RNA, 398 nt
Organism: Drosophila eugracilis
Lineage: Eukaryota; Metazoa; Arthropoda; Insecta; Diptera; Drosophilidae
Exons: 3
Source: RefSeq, a predicted model, not a curated record
ACACAAAAAUCUAAAAUCCUUGGCUGCUUAACCUCUAAUGAAGUGGCUAGCCAGUUGGCAGUCAAGAUGGCUAAAUAAACAUUUUUACCCCAAGUGACCUGGCCAGGCCAGGACAGACCAAAGGAGGACCACCAAGUUGACACCUAAGGACCUGAGCCAGUGCUUGAUUAAUUUGUGAUACUGAUGUGGAAAUGAAGUGUGGUUUUAAUUGCUGGUCUGGCACUUUCUCAGAAAAGGGGUUUUCUUUUUGCGUAAGAAAGGAAACUGCAAGUUUAGGGCUUCUGGUUUCGGCUGAAUGGAAAUUUGUGGCUUUUAUUCGUCGUAAAUCUUGGAAGUGCUUUUGCCAGAGCAGAAAUUGGGCUUUAAAUGAGAUGAGCGAGGGACUUAAAAUCUAGAGA